RNAcentral lists this unclassified non-coding RNA (242 nucleotides) under plant metagenome. RNAcentral describes it as "partial contains small subunit ribosomal RNA, internal transcribed spacer 1, and 5.8S ribosomal RNA". The stretch from base 1 to 54 matches the Rfam family "Eukaryotic small subunit ribosomal RNA", at positions 1778 to 1831 of the family's 1831-position model. The record is from RNAcentral.
GGAAGUAGAAGUCGUAACAAGGUUUCCGUAGGUGAACCUGCGGAAGGAUCAUUACAGAGUUCAUGCCCUCACGGGUAGAUCUCCCACCCUUGAAUAUUUAUACCUUAGUUGCUUUGGCAGGCCGUGGAAACACCAUGGGCUCCGGCUUAUGCGUGCCUGCCAGAGGAAACAAACUCUGUUUUUAGUGAUGUCUGAGUACUAUAUAAUAGUUAAAACUUUCAACAACGGAUCUCUUGGUUCUG